GCAAGUCGAGCGGUAACAGGAAAUAGCUUGCUAUUUUGCUGACGAGCGGCGGACGGGUGAGUAACGCGUAGGAAUCUACCGAGUAGUGGGGGAUAGCCCAGAGAAAUUUGGAUUAAUACCGCAUACGCCCUACGGGGGAAAGGAGGGGAUCUUUUGACCUUUCGCUAUUUGAUGAGCCUGCGUAAGAUUAGCUAGUUGGUAGGGUAAAGGCCUACCAAGGCGACGAUCUUUAGCUGUUCUGAGAGGAUGAUC
This 252-nucleotide ribosomal RNA is filed under the name uncultured bacterium. RNAcentral's name for it is "partial 16S ribosomal RNA". It matches the Rfam family "Bacterial small subunit ribosomal RNA", at positions 57 to 305 of the family's 1533-position model. The record is from RNAcentral.